RNAcentral lists this ribosomal RNA (320 nucleotides) under uncultured eukaryote. RNAcentral's name for it is "partial 18S ribosomal RNA". It matches the Rfam family "Eukaryotic small subunit ribosomal RNA", at positions 1470 to 1796 of the family's 1831-position model. The record is from RNAcentral.
CCCCUAGAUGUUCUGGGCCGCACGCGCGCUACACUGAACAGUUCAACAAGUCUUAACCUUGGCCGAUAGGUCUGGGUAAUCUUUGAACGCUGUUCGUGAUUGGGAUAGACCUUUGCAAUUAUGGGUCUUCAACGAGGAAUUCCUAGUAAACGCAAGUCAUCAGCUUGCAUUGAUUACGUCCCUGCCCUUUGUACACACCGCCCGUCGCACCUACCGAUUGAAUGGUCCGGUGAAAUCUCGGGACGGCGGCUUGGUCGCUUGCGACCGACUGCUGAAACUUGAUUAAACCAUAUCAUUUAGAGGAAGGUGAANUCGUAACA